Molecule: long non-coding RNA, 491 nt
Organism: Chiroxiphia lanceolata (lance-tailed manakin)
Lineage: Eukaryota; Metazoa; Chordata; Aves; Passeriformes; Pipridae
Exons: 4
Source: RefSeq, a predicted model, not a curated record
UCAACAUCAUAAACCACCACUCUGCCAGUGUAGUUGGAUCUUGGUGCACCAGCAACAAAAUAGAUGGAGCUCAUAGUUGAGAGAACAGCAACAGAAUAACCUGGGGUAGAAGCCAACAUUUAACAUGUGUGAGAGACCAUUAAUUACAAUUCAUCAGUUGGUUAUCCAUAAAGGGCAGAAGAUGAGUCAGUCUGUUGGAGCCAUCAUGUGAUUCACCGUCUGUCACAACAACCAUUACUUUUGUGGCUGCUGGACGUCCUCCCGCUUCAGGAUUCUGCCUGCCACUGGGAACCUACUCAGAGGCCCUGAGCAAAUUGUCUCCUGGUGGGAAUGAAAUUCAGGAUGUUCUCCUUGCUGUUUAAGGUCUCACACAGGCAACACUUCAGAUCAGAAGGCUUUGCCAGAAUGAGGACUCAGAAGAAGUGUAUGCAGGUUUGCAGCCUGGACUGGUGCAAUGCCUCUGAAUACAGAGGAGCAAGACCAUAUUCAUA